GGCACCAAACUACAUUCCCUCAUAUACAAUGGUCCGCGGCAUUUAUCGGUAUGGAAGGCAGUCAAAUAGCUGGGGAAUCUUAUUCAGGACACAUUCUUCCUGCUCUACUCAUAACUUGGAAUACAUUUGCGAGUUCAUUGCUAUCAUCUCUACUUCUUCCUCUUCUUCUUCUCUCUCCUUUCUCCCUCUACCUUCUCCUUCCCGGGCUCAGACACAAACAAACAUACCAGACAAACGGAACAGCUGGUGUACUGCCGGAUGCGUUCUGUGAACUGGAGAAGGGAGAAAGUGUACUACUGGAGAAUACUGAAGAAACUAAAUCUGCUUUAUUUCUUCUCAUCAAUAAAUAUAUUCUUCUCAAGGGCGUACGUCUGCUCUGCAGUAUGAUGGCUGCCGCUGUCUUGCGACGUCAUCUCAUGGUUUGGAAGAUAUUUGCUCCUAAGUUCAUCUUCGAAGCUGUUGGGUUCGGUGUGAGCCUUCUUGGUCUGAUUCUAGGAUACCUUAUAUUCAUCCGAGUACUGUCCGUAGUUUCGGCCUGCUAUGCUAAGUUUAAAUUAUCCUGAUAAUUCGGGGUUUUUCAGGGUUGUAUAUAUUCCUUAGAAAUCAUAACCCCCCCCCCUUUUUAGAAAAUCAUUGAAGUUCGAUUUUUCAUUUUUCCCCCAAAUAAUCAAAAAUAGUUUUUUUUGAGGGUGUAAUUUUGAAAAAUAUUCACCUCUGGGUUUUUUUCAGCACUAGUCAACUAAUCUGGAGAAUCUGGAGUCCUACUUGCGUUAAUUCGAUCUCAAAGUUUUUUGCUUUUAAACUUUUUGUCUGUGAAACAUUAAGAUUUUGUCAGAUUUUUGUAGUUGUUAAACUGUACAAUCUCAUGAGAAUAUUUGUAGUUGUUAAACUGUACAAUCUCAUGAGAAUAUUUGUAGUUGUUAAACUGUACAAUCUCAUGAGAAUUUUUGUUGGGACAUACAGGGUGUCCCACAUCAAAUUAGACAGCGUCAAUUUGGGGGACAAAUCAGAAAAUUUAAGAAGAAUGAAUCAUUUUAAAAAUUUAAUAAGGCUAAUAGAAAAUUUUGUUGGCAGAACUUAAUAAUUUCAAUUGUAAGUUUCUUCAAUCUUCAAUUCUUUUUUGAUUAUCUUACACAGGCACUCAAGUACUCCUCUUUUCGUAUUUAUCAUAGCUUUUAAAAAUCAGUUUUUACAAUUCAUAAUUUUUUUUUUUUUUUUUUUCUUUUAACAUGUCCCAAAUAUUCUUUCAAAGGGGCCCUUCUCUGCUUGUACGUGUGAUAAAUGUGAUUGUGAGCUUAAACUAUAGUCUUGUUGUUUGUGAACGAAUUGUACCAGUUAUGAUAUAUUUAUGUCUAUGCACACUACAGUUGCAUUUUUGUGACAAAAGCCUUAAUCUAGACUAAACUAAAAUGUUGUUUUUUUAUUGUUAAUAUUAUGGAAACUUGUUCCAAGAUAUUUUGUUAUUCCCCUUAAACUUGUUUUCUAUACAUUCUACAGUAUAUAAUGGGGCGUUUUAAGUAAAAAGUAAAACUAUCUGUGCAGAAAAGAAAAAAUGCUCUUUGUAUUUUUUUGCGGAAAGUUUUGCAAUGCCUUAAUAAAUUGAUUUAAAGAAUUAUUUAUUUUUCUCGUUGCUCUUGAAUCUAGCCAAACUGCACUGAAUGAAAUACUCUUGAAGUCAAGUUUGACGAAUUUUCACUUAGAAAUAAAUCUUAUAAUUAAUGUUAACUUGUGAUUUACAGUUAAAAAAUUCUGUAUUUCCUUUUAAUCCCCUUGUGCAUGCUCUCACCGAAACGUUGACUUUUCAUAAAUUAAAUUCUAGAUUUUGAUCAUGAACCGUCGUAUCAGCUGUUCCUCUGUUAUGUUUGGUUUGGUUUAUUACAGCUGUUGUUAUGUUUGGUAUGGUUUCAGA
RNA transcript from Eurytemora carolleeae, 1909 nucleotides. It is a transcript of the gene named GPI ethanolamine phosphate transferase 3, with no coding region annotated. The record is from RefSeq and is a predicted model, not a curated record. Lineage: Eukaryota; Metazoa; Arthropoda; Copepoda; Calanoida; Temoridae.